Molecule: unclassified non-coding RNA, 233 nt
Filed under: uncultured Rhizopogon
Lineage: Eukaryota; Fungi; Basidiomycota; Agaricomycetes; Boletales; Rhizopogonaceae
Description: sequence contains ITS2
Source: RNAcentral
AAUUCAUCAACCCCCCUCGAUUAGCUUCGAGGGGGAGCUUGGAUAGUGGGGGCUGCUGGAGACCUUGGGACUAGUCCCAGGACUCGGGCUCUCCUGAAAUGCAUUGGCUUGCGGUCGACUUUCGACUUUGCGUGAAAAGGCUUUCGGCGUGAUAAUGAUCGCCGUGUGCUGAAGCGCAUGAAUGAAGGUUCCGUGCCUCUAAUACGCAUCGACCUUAGGGUCUUUCUUUGACA